Molecule: unclassified non-coding RNA, 416 nt
Filed under: Hevea brasiliensis (rubber tree)
Lineage: Eukaryota; Viridiplantae; Streptophyta; Magnoliopsida; Malpighiales; Euphorbiaceae
Source: RNAcentral
UUUGAGAUUAAGGUUUAGUUGUUGUUAUUUUUAUUUUUGUAAAAACACAAAUAUAAGAGGGAAGGAUAGCUGUAUAAAAAUCCUUCUGUGCUUCCAAAUGUUGAGUACACUCUAGGUUUAUGUAAUUUAUGCUUUGUUAUUUGUUGCAGAAAGGGAAAUUGUGGACUUUAAUCCUUUUAGUUUUAUAGCUGUUAGUAAUGAAAUAAAACAUAUAUUGUGUUAUCUGAUAGAUAUUUUAAAUUUAAACUCCCCUAACCCAGGGAAAAUAAACCUGUUUGUUUUACCUUAUUUACACCAUUGUCUCUACAUGAAUGGGUGAUAAGGCAUCCCUCUCUUUUUUAGCCAUAUAUUUGGCAUAUUAAAAUUUUGUAUUAGUAAGUCAGCUUGAGGACAUCCCUGACUGUGAAAAAAAAAAA